GACCGAGGGUGCAAACGUUGCUCGGAAUUACUGGGCGUAAAGCGCGUGUAGGCGGGUCGGUGUGUCGGACGUGAAAUCCCUAGGCUCAACCUAGGAACUGCGCCCGAAACUGCCGGUCUUGAGUGGUGGGGAGGGAAGUGGAAUUCCUGGUGUAGAGGUGAAAUUCGUAGAUAUCAGGAGGAACACCAGUGGCGAAGGCGGCUUCCUGGACACCAACUGACGCUGAGACGCGAAAGCGUGGGGAGCAAACAGG
Molecule: ribosomal RNA, 253 nt
Filed under: uncultured bacterium
Lineage: Bacteria
Description: partial 16S ribosomal RNA
Rfam family: Bacterial small subunit ribosomal RNA
Source: RNAcentral